CUCCAAUAGCGUAUAUUAAAGUUGUUGCAGUUAAAAAGCUCGUAGUUGAAUUUCGGGGUUAGUAGGUUGGUCAUGCCUCUGGUAUGUACUGGUCUCACUGAUUCCUCCUUCCUGAUGAACCUUAAUGCCAUUAAUUUGGUGUUUUGGGGAAUUUGGACUGUUACUUUGAAAAAAUUAGAGUGUUUAAAGCAAGCUAACGCUUGAAUACAUUAGCAUGGAAUAAUGAAAUAGGACGUUCGAUCCUAUUUUGUUGGUUUCUAGGAUUGACGUAAUGAUUAAUAGGGAUAGUUGGGGGCAUUAGUAUUCAAUUGUCAGAGGUGAAAUUCUUGGAUUUAUUGAAGACUAACUACUGCGAAAGCAUUUGCCAAGGAUGUUUUCAUUAAUCAAGAACGAAAGUUAGGGGAUCGAAGACGAUCAGAUACCGUCGUAGUCUUAACCAUAAACUAUGCCGACUAGGGAUC
RNAcentral lists this ribosomal RNA (461 nucleotides) under uncultured Glomus. RNAcentral describes it as "SSU rRNA". It matches the Rfam family "Eukaryotic small subunit ribosomal RNA", at positions 589 to 1054 of the family's 1831-position model. The record is from RNAcentral. Lineage: Eukaryota; Fungi; Glomeromycota; Glomeromycetes; Glomerales; Glomeraceae.